Long non-coding RNA from Camelina sativa (false flax), 349 nucleotides. RefSeq lists it as uncharacterized. NCBI's taxonomy places the organism in Eukaryota, Viridiplantae, Streptophyta, Magnoliopsida, Brassicales, Brassicaceae. The record is from RefSeq and is a predicted model, not a curated record.
CUGUUGGUGCUGGAUGGCAAGGCAUAGUUGAACAUUGGGUGUUUCUAUAUAUGUGGUAAUACCUAUUUGUUUUAUUGCUCAUCUACAAGAGGGAACUUGGAGUAGAGGGAAUCUGGACGGAAAUGCUAACAGGAACAGUUCUUCAGACGUGUGUACUGCAUUUGUUGGGAAGGCGAUAGAGGAGAAGAGACUUAAGAGAUUGAAGUUUGUCUCUAUCCUUAUAAGCUAUAAUGUUAGCUUUUUGGAUAAAACAGGGCAGCAUAUUAUAAGACUUGGUAUGAUAUGUAAGACUUGCUUAUAUUAACGUUAUGUUAUGUAUGUUGAUGAUUUAUGAAAUAAUUUUUUUUAA